RNAcentral lists this long non-coding RNA (1014 nucleotides) under Sorghum bicolor (sorghum). RNAcentral describes it as "long non-coding RNA (SBIC_LNC013409)". The record is from RNAcentral. Lineage: Eukaryota; Viridiplantae; Streptophyta; Magnoliopsida; Poales; Poaceae.
AACAUAGAACAAACUUUGUUAAAAAUAAUGUAGACACAAUGUAUUGCCACUACUAUAAUCUAAAAACGUAUCCAGUGAUACAACCAUAUUCAAGGGUCCUGUGAUACUCUUUUGUGAUAAAGUAUCUAAACACACUCAUCUUUCAAAAAGUGUCUAAAUAUACUCUUCUCUGAUAAAAGUAUCUAAACAUACAUUUCUUUCGAAAAAUAUCUAAACAUACUCUUUUCAGAAACAUAUUCAAAAAUACUAUUUUUAAUUCAAAGUGACUGUCGACGACAAAUGCAGAGAAGCAAAGACCACCAUUGCUACGAGACACAAGGAGAGAACAUGCCUUGUAUCCAAGAGAAGAUGGUUUGAUUUAAGUAGUAAUGCGAUGGCAACAAGAUCAAUGGAAUCAAUCGGAUCUGCAAUCUGCAAAGAUAAGCCUCCUAUCCAGAUCUACAAUCUGCAAGGAUACUAAAUUCAAAUUAACAAAUCGAUCACAAUAGUAAGGAUUAGUAAAUUUAGAUGGAAACAAGCAACACAGGUGAGCAACACAGAUGACAGAUGUGGGGCUAGGCGCUCUUAAUCUGGAAACAAGGAACACGUCUAAGCAAAGAGAUGUGCCUACGGAUUGACAUCAAAUUAAAUGAGAAACACACGAAUGGAUGGAUGGUACUGUAAUUGACGAUCCUAAUUCAGAUUUUAGAGGUACCCUGUUCAUUGUUGACUCAGCGCACCAGAAUAGAGGCGUCGCUCGAGUCGGAUAAGCCCGCCCGCCAGGGGGAGGCGGCGCACACGGCCUAGAGCGAUCCGUUCGACAGAUACGCGAGGGCCUGGUAGCGCCACCGUCGUCGAGGCCGGCCACCGAGCGUGCUGGCCGCCGUCGAGGGCCGUGGAGCACCCUGGAGGGGAAGAAGGUCCACCGGCGCGCUAGAAGGAAGAUCUAGUAUGCACCAGCCAAUUGGAAGUGGAGAGCAGAUUAGUAUCCUGUGUUUGCAAAGACGAACUGGUUAGAUGAGGACGAAGAUGUAG